Molecule: long non-coding RNA, 1586 nt
Filed under: Callithrix jacchus (white-tufted-ear marmoset)
Lineage: Eukaryota; Metazoa; Chordata; Mammalia; Primates; Cebidae
Description: lncRNA (ENSCJAG00000075603.1)
Source: RNAcentral
CGUGGAUCUUAGCUUGCUGGGCUCUGUGGGGGUGUGAUCCACUGAGCUAGACCACUUGGCUCCCUGGCUUCAGCCGGUUUCCAGGGGAGUGAAUGGUUCUGUCUCACUGGCAUUCCAGGUGCCAUUUGGGUAUGAAGUAAAACUCCUGCAGCUAGCUUGGUGUCUGCCCAAAUGGCUGCCUGUUUUAUGCUUGAAACCUAGGUCCUGGUGGCAUAGACACUUGAAGGUAUCUCCUAGUUUGCGGGUUGCAGUGACUGUGGAAAAAAUAUGGUAUCUGGGUUGGAGUGCAUUGUGCCUCAUGGUGCAGUCCCUCCCAGCUUUUCUUGGCUAGGGGAGGGAGUUUCCUGGUGUCUUGUGCUUCCCUGGUGAGGCAACACCCCACCCUGCUUUGGCUCAUCCCCCUCCAUGGGCUGCACCCACUGUCUAACCAGUCCCAGUGAGAUGAGCCAGGUAUCUCAGCUGGAAAUGUAGAGAUCACCCACCUUCUGUGCUGAUCUCACUGGGAGAUGCAGAUUGGGAGGUGUUCCUAUUCAGCCAUCUUGCCAGCCUCCCAUACAUUGUUGCUUUAAUGUCCAUUGUGUCCAGUUGUGACUUCAUAACUCAUGUGCUUUCUUUACAAAGGGGUUCAAAUUGAUAGUAGAGUCAAAACAAUACCAAGUCAUUUUCUUUGAAGAAAAAUUUCAGUUUUUAUAUUAUUCUCAUAUUUAUUAUUCAAAUAAAUUACAGUCAGUAUUGACUGAAAUAUGUUACUAUCUGUUAUCAGAGAUGUUGGGGAAAAAGUACAUUUUAUCUUCUUGGGUAAGCAUUUCCCUAGACAUAAUGGGGGCUUUUUGGGAAAGGCUCACCUGAAAGUGGUUUCCCUAUAUUCAUGCCACUUCAUGAAAUCUAGCAGGAGGGAUUUCUUAUUCCAAUCUAAGUGACAUCCUGGGAGGAACAACCGCUAAAAUCACUUAUCAAUCCCUUAAACCUUAGUGCUGACUUAUUGGCAGCUUUGCCAUUUUCAUCUAAGGGCUAUUGUUAAGAACAUCUAUUGUCAAAUUGAAGAAUGCUGGUAUCACAUCUUUAAAGGAAAUGAAAAAAAUAGUAAACAACUUAUAAUUGAAUCAAUCUACUCUGGCAAAUUCACCUUUGUGUUUUCCUUCCUGUCUUUGUUCAUUUUCAUACACAUUUUUAAUAUUGAUAUAAUCAUAGAGUUGACUAACUGUGUAUCUGUACAGGUGGUGCCUUUAUGGUGGGGAGCUGUUAGCCAAAGGGAGAAGACAAAGUCAUACAGGGCUGUCCUUCCCAACUCAAUACUAGUGGCCGAACAAGAACAAUGAAGAAGAGAGUUAAUCUAUAAUUGAAGAAAACAGAAGCUGCAGGCUGGGCAUGGUGGCUCACCCUGUAAUCCCAGCACUUUGGGAGGCUGUGGUGGGAGAAUUGCUUGAGCCCAGGAGUUCAACACCAAUCUGGGUAACAUAGUGAGAACUCCACUUCUACAAAAAGAAAAUGAAAGAAGGAAAGAAAGAAACAGAAGUUGCAAACAUGUUACGUGACUCAGCCUCCAGGGCUUAAGGUCCCCCUUGGUGUAAUAAAUUCAAAGGGUC